UACAGGGGGGGCAAGCGUUGUUCGGAAUUACUGGGCGUAAAGGGCUCGUAGGUGGCCAACUAAGUCAGACGUGAAAUCCCUCAGCUUAACUGGGGAACUGCGUCUGAUACUGGAUGGCUUGAGUUUGGGAGAGGGAUGCGGAAUUCCAGGUGUAGCGGUGAAAUGCGUAGAUAUCUGGAGGAACACCGGUGGCGAAGGCGGCAUCCAGGACCAACACUGACACUGAGGAGCGAAAGCGUGGGGAGCAAACAGG
RNAcentral lists this ribosomal RNA (253 nucleotides) under uncultured bacterium. RNAcentral describes it as "partial 16S ribosomal RNA". It matches the Rfam family "Bacterial small subunit ribosomal RNA", at positions 524 to 776 of the family's 1533-position model. The record is from RNAcentral.